GCCUGGGUGGCUUGGUCGGUUAAGCGUCUGACUUCGGCUCAGGUCAUGAUCUCACGGUCUGUGGGUUCGAGCCCCGCGUCAGGCU
Molecule: transfer RNA, 85 nt
Filed under: Felis catus (domestic cat)
Lineage: Eukaryota; Metazoa; Chordata; Mammalia; Carnivora; Felidae
Rfam family: tRNA
About the family: Transfer RNA (tRNA) molecules are approximately 80 nucleotides in length. Their secondary structure includes four short double-helical elements and three loops (D, anti-codon, and T loops). Further hydrogen bonds mediate the characteristic L-shaped molecular structure. tRNAs have two regions of fundamental functional importance: the anti-codon, which is responsible for specific mRNA codon recognition, and the 3' end, to which the tRNAs corresponding amino acid is attached (by aminoacyl-tRNA synthetases). tRNAs cope with the degeneracy of the genetic code in two manners: having more than one tRNA (with a specific anti-codon) for a particular amino acid; and 'wobble' base-pairing, i.e. permitting non-standard base-pairing at the 3rd anti-codon position.
Source: Rfam by way of RNAcentral